GGACUACCAGGACAUUGCAACAAACCCAGCAGGAGUUCAUCUUGUCUCAGGAAUGGAGGAAUACACAUACAUACAAGCCUAAUGAUUUUGCAGAGCAAAGUCUUACACUGAUUUAUUACCAGGAUACAGAGAGCACUGUUGUUAAUGGAAACAUUUACAAGAAUGAGGGUCACAGGUUUUGGUGCCAUAGCUGAUAAAGAACUUUCCAG
RNAcentral lists this long non-coding RNA (209 nucleotides) under Gallus gallus (chicken). The record is from RNAcentral. Lineage: Eukaryota; Metazoa; Chordata; Aves; Galliformes; Phasianidae.